GCCCUACGGGAGGCAGCAGUGGGGAAUAUUGCACAAUGGGGGAAACCCUGAUGCAGCGACGCCGCGUGAGUGAGGAAGUAUUUCGGUAUGUAAAGCUCUAUCAGCAGGGAAGAAAAUGACGGUACCUGACUAAGAAGCCCCGGCUAACUACGUGCCAGCAGCCGCGGUAAUACGUAGGGGGCAAGCGUUAUCCGGAUUUACUGGGUGUAAAGGGAGCGCAGGCGGCAGCGCAAGUCUGAUGUGAAAGCCCGGGGCCCAACCGCGGGACUGCAUUGGAAACUGCGCAGCUGGAGUGCCGGAGGGGG
RNAcentral lists this ribosomal RNA (305 nucleotides) under uncultured bacterium. Its description in RNAcentral is "bacterial SSU rRNA". It matches the Rfam family "Bacterial small subunit ribosomal RNA", at positions 335 to 658 of the family's 1533-position model. The record is from RNAcentral.